Columba livia (rock pigeon) is the source of this 457-nucleotide long non-coding RNA. RefSeq lists it as uncharacterized. The record is from RefSeq and is a predicted model, not a curated record. NCBI's taxonomy places the organism in Eukaryota, Metazoa, Chordata, Aves, Columbiformes, Columbidae. The transcript has 4 exons.
AGAGGAGGGGACGCCUGUCCGACCUGCCAAAAUCAGGAACGCCCCCGCUCCUCCCGCCCGCCCAGCGGCCGCCUCAGCCCGAGGGGACGGCAGGGGGAGGCGUUACAAGUGCAGCCCCUCCCGGGCCGCCGCUGAGAUGGCAAAGAAAACAAUAUGAACCUACAAGAUACAAUCAGAAGGAAAAGGCCAGGUUAGAAGGAAAAAAGUACAGCUACAGAUGGAAGAAAAACUACUGAAGAUCUGCAGCAGGUAGAUGUGUUCAUGAGAAUUCACAAAUGUUUCUGAGGAGUACUUGGGAAAGAAGAAGGCCUAAACACAGAUCUCAGUGCACAGAUCCAGACACCAAAAAGCUACUCUCAGAGCAAGGAGGGCUUCUUCCAGCUCAGGAGGACCCUGUCUGGAAAUCAGUUUUUGGGCACACCAUGGGACAGACAACUUCCAUUGAAUGACUCACAAC